UGGGGAGUGGUGUAAUUGGUAACACGCCUGCCUUUGAAGCAGGAAAGUCCAGGUUCGAUCCCUGGCUCCCCAGCCA
RNAcentral lists this transfer RNA (76 nucleotides) under Candidatus Yanofskybacteria bacterium RIFOXYD1_FULL_42_10. Its description in RNAcentral is "tRNA-Gln". It matches the Rfam family "tRNA". Rfam says of the family: Transfer RNA (tRNA) molecules are approximately 80 nucleotides in length. The record is from RNAcentral. Lineage: Bacteria; Candidatus Yanofskyibacteriota.